RNAcentral lists this ribosomal RNA (406 nucleotides) under uncultured bacterium. Its description in RNAcentral is "partial 16S ribosomal RNA". It matches the Rfam family "Bacterial small subunit ribosomal RNA", at positions 30 to 526 of the family's 1533-position model. The record is from RNAcentral.
AUUGAACGCUGGCGGCAGGCUUAACACAUGCAAGUCGAACGAGUGGCGGACGGGUGAGUAAUGCUUGGGAAUCUAGCUUAUGGAGGGGGAUAACUACGGGAAACUGUAGCUAAUACCGCGUACCAUAGGAUGAGCCCAAGUGGGAUUAGGUAGUUGGUGAGGUAAAGGAGUACCAAGCCGACGAUCUCUAGCUGGUCUGAGAGGAUGACCAGGCACGCUGGGACGGAGAAAGGGCACAGACUCCUACGGGAGGCAGCAGUGGGGAAUAUUGCACAAUGGGAGCAAGCCUUAUGCAGCCAUGCCGCGUGUAUGAAGAAGGCCUUAGGGUUGUAAAGUACUUUCAGCGGGGAGGCGUUACCCGCAGAAGAAGCACCGGCUAACUCAGUGCCAGCAGCCGCGGUAAUAC